UGAGAAACAAAAUAUAAUUGAAUUUCACUCGAUACGAUCCAUGAUUAAUGCCAUGAUGGUUAAGAAUGCCCAUAAUUAGACUCCAUUAUACAGAGUUUAUGGGGUGUUUUUUUUAUUUUUUUUUCACAUUCCAGACAAACAAAUAUGCAUUACCUUCCACCAUGUUCCUCUUUCUUCUAUGCAGAGGCCUCUCAGAAGCCUUUGCUCAAAAAACGUCACCCUAACAUGCAAAGGCUCCACAGAAGCCUAUGCUCAAAAAAUAUAGUAGUAUUUUAAGACAAAACAUUUGAGCAAAAUACAAAUGCAGUCACCAAAAAGACUAUGGGUAAGCUCACAAGUCGCAACCAUAUCUGCACCGAUUGUAUUUCGAACCUGCUGUACAUAUGUUAAAAAGGUAUUCUCCUUGCUUGCUUCUUUACUGGUCGAUCAAACGGAUCAGAAAUAGGGGCCUGAUAGGAUGAUGGAGGUGGGAGCGCCGGCCUACCAAACGGCAUAUCUGUACAAUCAGCUGGAUUGGCCAAUGCAAGGGGAUUCACUUCAUUAGGCUCAAGAGGUCUAGUGUCAUCACAUGUAGCUGAUACACGGGCAGGACGCUUUCUCACAUAGUUCUCCUGCAAAGGCUUUGGGAUUUGAAAUGAAAAUUGUGACAGUGUUACCCCGUCUUGCACAUAUUCAGGAUGAUCCAUUAAGUACUUUUGGAUCUCUACCAUUGAGCGGAGCCUCUUGCCUGAUGGUGACUCAUAGUACACGUCUGCAAAUUUGGUACUCCC
This 770-nucleotide unclassified non-coding RNA is filed under the name Hevea brasiliensis (rubber tree). The record is from RNAcentral. Lineage: Eukaryota; Viridiplantae; Streptophyta; Magnoliopsida; Malpighiales; Euphorbiaceae.